This 3132-nucleotide unclassified non-coding RNA is filed under the name Haliotis rubra (blacklip abalone). Its description in RNAcentral is "coactosin-like protein, transcript variant X1". Lineage: Eukaryota; Metazoa; Mollusca; Gastropoda; Lepetellida; Haliotidae. The record is from RNAcentral.
CUCAUUUAUUGAUCUCGGUGAUGUCACUGGGCGAAGACUGCAAGGAUUGUCGUUGCGAGUAAAGACGGGAGCAUUUGUUGAAAGAAGCCGGUGUCGUACCUGGGAAAUUACCGAGUCUGUUGGAGAGCACGGCGACUUGUACCUAUCAACCUCUAGACAUCGCUCCCGUCUGUCGUCUGCCCGCUCUCACUUGGUGACCAGACGAAAUAUACGACUUCUCGCCUUGAAGCUCAAACACUCGUCUGUGUUGAUAUUCACAAACGAGCAGUAUGUCGACCAAACUGGACAAAGAUGACGUUAGGGCCGCCUAUGAAGACGUGAGAGACGAUGCAUCAGCUACCCUUUGGGCUGUGUUCAAAUAUGAAGGGAAUACUAUUCAGAGGAGCGCUACUGGGGAUGAUUACGGAGAGUUUCAAUCACAGUUCGGAGAUGAUGAAAGGGCGUUUGGUUUUAUUCGUAUAACUACGGGCGACGAAUUGAGCAAACGAUCAAAAUUUGCUCUUGUCACGUGGGCCGGUUCCCUUUUAUCAGCAUUAAAGCGAGCGAGGCUGAGCACGGACAAAUCCCUUAUAAAACAAGUCAUCCAAAACUUUGCCGUGGAAAUCAUGACCUCUGAACAGGACGAAAUCAGAAUAGAGUACAUCACGGAUGAAGUGAAGAAAGCAGGCGGAGCCAACUAUGGAACUGGUCAAUGAUGACAAAGAACUUAGUGCAGUUGAACAGUUCUGACUAUGUUAAAUGUGAAUCGCAAUGGUUGAAACUGUGGAUUAUGAGUAGAGAUCUUUAAAGACUGGAAUAGUGCGGUGUCUUUGACAACUGUCCCGUGUGUCUGGGGAUUAUUGGAACAUAUGUUCUGUGGCAGCAGGAUGGAGAAUUGGGGGACAGAUUUUGAAGAGGCCGCAUCUGGAUCCACCUCUCCACAUCUCAAACUCCCAACGUUCAGUCAUUUUCUCUUAAAUAUUUUUAGUAAUAUAUUCCGUACAAACUAAAUAUACUUAAUGUUGUAUUGUAAACCCAGAUUAACUUGUAGACUUAAUUUUCGUAUACAGUUUGUUACUUUUUCAAGUGUAACCAUGGAGAAACAGGAUUACCACCUCCGUGCAAUUAAGAGCUGACUCAGCAAUGCAAUGUAUACACGAAGACCACCUAUGCAAUGACUUCAUGCAGUCACAUCAUGUGUUCAACCAUUGACAGGAGAAUCCAGAAAGCUGAUCAAACUGCGACUUCUUACAACCGCUAUGGUAUUGAUUCAAACAGAUUUCAUGCAUACACCAUCAGCUAUAUUAUAUAUGGCCUCAAACAUCUGCCUUACUGUGUAUGCAUGACAAAUGGUAAAAGUCUUUAUUUCUAAAGUAUGUCAUGUCAUUUGGGGGCACGAAGGGCUUGUCUUAAGUGCGACAACUGUCUGUGCUGAGUUAUCCCAGGUAGACACUGUCUGUGUUGAGUUAUCCCAGGUAGACACUGUCUGUGCUGAGUUAUCCCAGGUAGACACAGUGCUGAGUUAUCCCAGGUAGACGUGUCUUAAACCUAUGAUCGUGGGUUUGAAGCCAAGUCCCCCCCCCCCCCCGAUUGUUGGCGCUGGGUAUGUCAGCACUAUAAGGGUGAUCGUGGUGUUACCAGAGGGAUAACCGUCUGAUAUCUGCAUCACUUCAGCUUUUGUCCCUGAGGCUAACAGCUGCGCGUCAAAGCAACCUUAAACCCCAACCCACUCACUCACCAUAUCUGAUCCCACAUGGGUAGGCCUACAAUGUGUGAAGCCCAUUUCUGCUGUCACUUCUCUUUCUCCUCAACCCCCCUGAUAUGGUUGGAAUACUUACAAAAGCGGCGUAAAACCCAACUCACUCACUCACUUUAUCUGAUUAAUCUACACCUUAACAGUAAUGUGCACAGACUUAAAACGCCAUCUGUCAACGUUUACUAAAUUGAAGUGUCGACUCUCAGCAAUUUCCUCAUCACAGCUAUUGACUCACUCCAUUGUCCUCACUCUGUAGCCUCCACAAGAAUGUGUAGCCGUGUGGUGCCCUACUAUUUGUUUUAGGUUCCAUGUAUGUACAGAAGAUAAGCUAAAACUGUUGGGCUCACGGUAUGUCAGGAAUGAACAGUCCAUACGAACAAAAUCAAAAUGUUCUGUGAAGAUGAAAGAACAACACUUCUGUUAAUCUGUAGUUGGUGCGGUAUUAUAAGAUGUCAAAGAUUUAUUCCAUAAUGAUAAAUUCCCCUUGAAAUUCACGGAGUCGAAAUUCAACCCUGGGCGACAGGAAGAAAGCAGUGAUUGUCUUCAAGGGGGGCAGUUCCGAUACGCAGUCGUAGUCUUAUCUAAGAUUCUCAGCUUCUGACUCAAGGUCAAGGUCGAUAUGCAUUGCCUGUAUUCUAUUACGAUAUUCUGCUGUGUGCAAUUCGCAAAUAUUAUGAACUAACAUUUAUAUAUAUGGUUUUACCCAUGUUAUGUUUCUAUUUAUUGUUGUCCUCUAAAACCAAAACCAUUUAACCAGAUUUAGGAUUUCAACACCUUUCUGCAACAGUUGUUAAGAAUGUCGGGGAUGUUUGGAUGUUAAUAUCAAAGCGAAACUCUGAAUUCAUAUUUCAUCGAUUUAUCACGCGCAGUUUCAUUAAUUCACCAUCUUGCCUUAUAACAUAUGCAGCUCUCAAUGUGUCCAACAGCAGGACGAACAAUCAAAAUGGCAAAACAAAACCACAUUAAUGUGGCGGGGAACAUAUUUCAGAGCUACCAUUUCAAAAAGGCCCUGUGUGUACGGUGUUGUAUGAACAACGGUAAUUGAUAUGUGUUCCUUUAUGUAAGUUUCACCAGUUUGAUUAUUUCUUUCCAAACGUAACAUAAAGUUUAGAACAAAAAUGACCAUGUACGAAUUUAGUGAUACAGUUGUAUAGCUAUGUCUGUUUCUGCCAUUGUCCAAUCUGUAAACAUGAAGCAGGCAGUGAUUGUUGAAUGAUGUAUUUGCUUUUCAUUCGUUGUCUCAAAGACACACGGAAAAUGCAAAUGUAUUGUACCCAUUGGGACAAUGACUGAGAACGAGAAUAUGUGUUUGGGCCUCAGUGUGUGAUACAGGGUUAUAUAUCAGACUCUACAGCUCACUGUUGUAUUUUACGAAAUAAAUUAUUUUUACAAGUUUA